CCUACGGGGGGCAGCAGUAGGGAAUAUUGCGCAAUGGACGGAAGUCUGACGCAGCGACGCCGCGUGAGCGAUGAAGGUCUUCGGAUCGUAAAGCUCUGUCCUUGGGGAAGAAGGUCUUCGGACUUGACGGUACCCAAGAAGAAAGCCCCGGCUAACUACGUGCCAGCAGCCGCGGUAAUACGUAGGUGGCGAGCGUUGUCCGGAAUUACUGGGUGUAAAGGGCGUGUAGGCGGGGAUGCAAGUCAGAUGUGAAAUUCCGGGGCUCAACCCCGGCACUGCAUCUGAAACUGUGUCUCUUGAGUGCUGGAGAGGAAAGUGGAAUUCCUAGUGUAGCGGUGAAAUGCGUAGAGAUUAGGAGGAACACCAGUGGCGAAGGCGACUUUCUGGACAGUAACUGACGCUGAGGCGCGAGAGCGUGGGGAGCAAACAGGAUUAGAUACCCCUGUAGUC
Molecule: ribosomal RNA, 450 nt
Filed under: uncultured bacterium
Lineage: Bacteria
Description: bacterial SSU rRNA
Rfam family: Bacterial small subunit ribosomal RNA
Source: RNAcentral